This 1069-nucleotide ribosomal RNA is filed under the name Plasmodium ovale curtisi. RNAcentral's name for it is "SSU rRNA". It matches the Rfam family "Eukaryotic small subunit ribosomal RNA", at positions 604 to 1460 of the family's 1831-position model. The record is from RNAcentral. Lineage: Eukaryota; Apicomplexa; Aconoidasida; Haemosporida; Plasmodiidae.
UUAAAAUUGUUGCAGUUAAAACGCUCGUAGUUGAAUUUCAAAGAAUCAAUAUUUUAAGUAAUAAUUUUGCUAUAAGAUGCUUAGACAAUACAACGUAUCUGUUCUUUGCAUUCCUUAUGCGAAAUGUGUUCUUAUUAUAAAAAGGAUUCUUUUUAAAAUCUCUUUUGCUAUUUUUUAGUAUUGGAGAUUUUGUUACUUUGAGUAAAUUAGAGUGUUCAAAGCAAACAGUUAAAGCAUUUUUACUGCGUUUGAAUACUACAGCAUGGAAUAACAAAAUUGAACGAGUCAGAAUUCUGUUCUUUUUUCUUAUUUUGGCUUAGUUACGAUUAAUAGGAGUAGCUUGGGGGCAUUUGUAUUCAGAUGUCAGAGGUGAAAUUCUUAGAUUUUCUGGAGACAAACAACUGCGAAAGCAUUUGCCUAAUAUAUUUCCAUUAAUCAAGAACGAAAGUUAAGGGAGUGAAGACGAUCAGAUACCGUCGUAAUCUUAACCAUAAACUAUACCAACUAGGUUUUGGAUGAAAAGUUUUUAAAUAAGAGAAUUCCUUUCGGGGAAAUUUCUUAGAUUGCUUCUUUCAGUACCUUAUGAGAAAUCAAAGUCUUUGGGUUCUGGGGCGAGUAUUCGCGCAAGCGAGAAAGUUAAAAGAAUUGACGGAAGGGCACCACCAGGCGUGGAGCUUGCGGCUUAAUUUGACUCAACACGGGGAAACUCACUAGUUUAAGACAAGAGUAGGAUUGACAGAUUAAUAGCUCUUUCUUGAUUUCUUGGAUGGUGAUGCAUGGCCGUUUUUAGUUCGUGAAUAUGAUUUGUCUGGUUAAUUCCGAUAACGAACGAGAUCUUAACCUGCUAAUUAGCGGCGAAUACGUUAUAUUCUUAUGUGAAAUUGAAUAUAGCUGAAUUUGCUUAUUUUGAAGAAUACAUUAGGAUACAAUUAAUGUGUCCUUUUCCCUAUUCUUCUUAAUUCGCAAUUCAUGCUGUUUCUCUUUUGCAUUAGAAUGUAUUCGUUUGAUUGUAAAGCUUCUUAGAGGAACGAUGUGUGUCUAACACAAGGAAGUUUAAGGCAACAACAGG